GACGAACCGUGCGAACGUUGUUCGGAUUCACUGGGCUUAAAGGGCGCGUAGGCGGCUCGCCAAGUCGGGGGUGAAAUCUUUCGGCUCAACCGGAAAACAGCUUCCGAUACUGGCGGGCUCGAGUGGGGUAGGGGCGACUGGAACUUCCGGUGGAGCGGUGAAAUGCGUAGAUAUCGGAAGGAACGCCGGUGGCGAAAGCGAGUCGCUGGACCCCUCCUGACGCUGAGGCGCGAAAGCCAGGGGAGCGAACGGG
RNAcentral lists this ribosomal RNA (253 nucleotides) under uncultured bacterium. RNAcentral describes it as "partial 16S ribosomal RNA". It matches the Rfam family "Bacterial small subunit ribosomal RNA", at positions 524 to 776 of the family's 1533-position model. The record is from RNAcentral.